RNAcentral lists this ribosomal RNA (275 nucleotides) under uncultured bacterium. Its description in RNAcentral is "partial 16S ribosomal RNA". It matches the Rfam family "Bacterial small subunit ribosomal RNA", at positions 77 to 354 of the family's 1533-position model. The record is from RNAcentral.
AAACUUUUGAUGGCGACCGGCGCACGGGUGAGUAACACGUAUCCAACCUGCCUCAUACUCGGGGAUAGCCUUUCGAAAGAAAGAUUAAUACCCGAUGUCAUAGUCCUACCGCAUGAUGGGAUUAUUAAAGAAUUUCGGUAUGGGAUGGGGAUGCGUUCCAUUAGUUAGUUGGCGGGGUAACGGCCCACCAAGACAACGAUGGAUAGGGGGUUCUGAGAGGAAGGUCCCCCACAUUGGAACUGAGACACGGUCCAAACUCCUACGGAAGGCAGCAG